RNAcentral lists this ribosomal RNA (984 nucleotides) under Paraconiothyrium sp. RNAcentral describes it as "SSU rRNA". It matches the Rfam family "Eukaryotic small subunit ribosomal RNA", at positions 108 to 1101 of the family's 1831-position model. The record is from RNAcentral. Lineage: Eukaryota; Fungi; Ascomycota; Dothideomycetes; Pleosporales; Didymosphaeriaceae.
AGUUAUCGUUUAUUUGAUAGUACCUUACUACAUGGAUAACCGUGGUAAUUCUAGAGCUAAUACAUGCUAAAAACCCCAACUUCGGGAGGGGUGUAUUUAUUAGAUAAAAAACCAAUGCCCUUCGGGGCUCCUUGGUGAUUCAUAAUAACUUCUCAGAUCGCAUGGCUUUACGCCGGCGACGGUUCAUUCAAAUUUCUGCCCUAUCAACUUUCGAUGGUAAGGUAUUGGCUUACCAUGGUUUCAACGGGUAACGGGGAAUUAGGGUUCGAUUCCGGAGAGGGAGCCUGAGAAACGGCUACCACAUCCAAGGAAGGCAGCAGGCGCGCAAAUUACCCAAUUCCGAUACGGAGAGGUAGUGACAAUAAAUACUGAUACAGGGCUCUUUUGGGUCUUGUAAUUGGAAUGAGUACAAUUUAAACCUCUUAACGAGGAACAAUUGGAGGGCAAGUCUGGUGCCAGCAGCCGCGGUAAUUCCAGCUCCAAUAGCGUAUAUUAAAGUUGUUGCAGUUAAAAAGCUCGUAGUUGAACCUUUGGCCUGGCUGGCAGGUCCGCCUCACCGCGUGCACUUGUCCGGCCGGGCCUUUUCUUCUGGAGAACCGCAUGCCCUUCACUGGGUGUGUUGGGGACCAGGACUUUUACUUUGAAAAAAUUAGAGUGUUCAAAGCAGGCCUUUGCUCGAAUACGUUAGCAUGGAAUAAUAGAAUAGGACGUGCGGUCCUAUUUUGUUGGUUUCUAGGACCGCCGUAAUGAUUAAUAGGGACAGUCGGGGGCAUCAGUAUUCAAUUGUCAGAGGUGAAAUUCUUGGAUUUAUUGAAGACUAACUACUGCGAAAGCAUUUGCCAAGGAUGUUUUCAUUAAUCAGUGAACGAAAGUUAGGGGAUCGAAGACGAUCAGAUACCGUCGUAGUCUUAACCAUAAACUAUGCCGACUAGGGAUCGGGCGGUGUUUCUAUUGUGACCCGCUCGGCACCUUACGAGAAAUCAA